UACGGAGGAUCCAAGCGUUAUCCGGAUUUAUUGGGUUUAAAGGGUGCGCAGGCGGGAUAAUAAGUCAGAGGUGAAAGCCUACAGCUCAACUGUAGAAUUGCCUUUGAUACUGUUAUUCUUGAGUAUAUUUGAAGUGGGCGGAAUGUGUCAUGUAGCGGUGAAAUGCUUAGAGAUGACACAGAACACCAAUUGCGAAGGCAGCUCGCUAAACUAUAACUGACGCUCAUUGCACGAAAGCGUGGGGA
Molecule: ribosomal RNA, 245 nt
Filed under: uncultured bacterium
Lineage: Bacteria
Description: partial 16S ribosomal RNA
Rfam family: Bacterial small subunit ribosomal RNA
Source: RNAcentral